ACUCGUUCCUCCCUUAGCUGAUGUCACAAAGAUGCUGCUGUGAAGGCUCAAAGGUGAUUUUCACAAGGCUGCAAAUUCCCUCACAGCUCAGCCUGUGGUCUCCAGACACAGCCAGGGCUAUGCACAAACCCUUGGAAAGGGUUUGUGUCCACACAGAGGAAAUGAUGAGGAGUUACAUUUGGUGGGGUACCCAGAGCAGGCACCCCAGGAACGGGGCUGGGUGCGGUGGGAGAGCUGAGUGAGAGCUGAGCUGGGUACACCCGGAUCCCUUCGCUGCCUGGCUUGGUCUUUGCCCUCUGGAAGCAGCAGGGAGGAGGCAGCAAACAGCAUCAGGGACACCCAUCAACUAAUUGAAGCCAUGCACAGGAAAUACACUGCACAGGUGCUAAACCACUGCAGAUGUUAGAAAGGCACGAGCAUGCUUCCAACAUGUUUAAUAUUUUUCGGUGUUAUUUUGCUGGCACUGAAAGCCCAACCUGUGUCGCCAGAUCCCUGAACUGGGACUCCAGGGAUGUGUAUUCCACUCUUGGAGCUGUUUUUAACAUCUUGGACAAGCCUGGGAAGGAGGUGGUUGGGCCUCAUUCAAAGCUCAGUUCUGCUGAGGGAAAACAAUAUUACUUCUUUGGGACUAUCCAAAUUUCUCCUAAGGGAGCAGAGGACCAAACACAGCUUUUCUGAUGGAUAAAUUCAUGGAUUUCAGAACCAUUCUCCUGAGGAGGCUCAGUGGAUGUCAAGAGGCAGGAAUUGUGCAAGAAUGAUACAAGGCAACCAGGGAAAAGUUGUUGAACUAAAUAGAAAAUAUUAUUUCCCCCCCACAGCUGCUGAAUUCCCCCUGGAAUAUUUUUCUUUACAUUGUUAAAGGAAGCUCAAUCAUGUCAUGAUAUUUUUUUGCUGUAAUAAUCAGUGCAUCAGUACUUCAGACUAUCAUGAGGGGAAGUAUUUUAGCCCAGAGACAGACAAUAAAAAUAAAUGUGAAC
This 977-nucleotide long non-coding RNA is filed under the name Cyanistes caeruleus (blue tit). RNAcentral describes it as "lncRNA (ENSCCEG00000010696.1)". Lineage: Eukaryota; Metazoa; Chordata; Aves; Passeriformes; Paridae. The record is from RNAcentral.